CCUACGGGGGGCAGCAGUGAGGAAUAUUGGUCAAUGGUCGGGAGACUGAACCAGCCAAGCCGCGUGAGGGAGGAAGGUACAGAGUAUCGUAAACCUCUUUUGCCAGGGAACAAAGGCGGGGACGUGUCCCCGGAUGAGUGUACCUGAAGAAAAAGCAUCGGCUAACUCCGUGCCAGCAGCCGCGGUAAUACGGAGGAUGCGAGCGUUAUCCGGUUUUAUGGGGUUUAAAGGGUGCGCAGGCGGUCUGUUAAGUCAGCGGUCAAAGCCCGGGGCUCAACCCCGGCCCGCCGUUGAAACUGGCAGUCUCGAGUUGGAGAGAAGUAUGCGGAAUGCGCGGUGUAGCGGUGAAAUGCAUAGAUAUCGCGCAGAACUCCGAUUGCGAAGGCAGCAUGCCGGCUCCACACUGACGCUGAGGCACGAAAGCGUGGGUAUCGAACAGGAUUAGAUACCCUGGUAGUC
This 459-nucleotide ribosomal RNA is filed under the name uncultured bacterium. RNAcentral's name for it is "partial 16S ribosomal RNA". It matches the Rfam family "Bacterial small subunit ribosomal RNA", at positions 338 to 795 of the family's 1533-position model. The record is from RNAcentral.